This 853-nucleotide ribosomal RNA is filed under the name Listeria monocytogenes. RNAcentral's name for it is "partial 23S ribosomal RNA". It matches the Rfam family "Bacterial large subunit ribosomal RNA", at positions 283 to 1129 of the family's 2925-position model. The record is from RNAcentral. RNAcentral also lists the same sequence under 1 other name. Lineage: Bacteria; Bacillati; Bacillota; Bacilli; Caryophanales; Listeriaceae.
GCUUGCUUCUUGGGGUUGUAGGACACUCUAUACGGAGUUACAAAAGAAAGUUAUAAAUGAAGCGGUCUGGAAAGGCCCGCCAAAGACGGUAACAGCCCGGUAGUUGAAAUGGCUUUCCCUCCAGAGUGGAUCCUGAGUACGGCGGAACACGUGAAAUUCCGUCGGAAUCCGGGAGGACCAUCUCCCAAGGCUAAAUACUCCCUAGUGACCGAUAGUGAACCAGUACCGUGAGGGAAAGGUGAAAAGCACCCCGGAAGGGGAGUGAAACAGUUCCUGAAACCGUGUGCCUACAAGUAGUUAGAGCCCGUUAAUGGGUGAUAGCGUGCCUUUUGUAGAAUGAACCGGCGAGUUACGAUUUGUUGCAAGGUUAAGCGGAAAAAGCGGAGCCGUAGCGAAAGCGAGUCUGAAUAGGGCGCAUAAGUAACAGGUCGUAGACCCGAAACCAGGUGAUCUACCCAUGUCCAGGAUGAAGGUAAGGUAAUACUUACUGGAGGUCCGAACCCACGCACGUUGAAAAGUGCGGGGAUGAGGUGUGGGUAGCGGAGAAAUUCCAAUCGAACUUGGAGAUAGCUGGUUCUCUCCGAAAUAGCUUUAGGGCUAGCCUCGAGGUAAAGAGUCAUGGAGGUAGAGCACUGUUUGGACUAGGGGCCCUUCUCGGGUUACCGAAUUCAGAUAAACUCCGAAUGCCAUGUACUUAUACUCGGGAGUCAGACUGCGAGUGAUAAGAUCCGUAGUCGAAAGGGAAACAGCCCAGACCACCAGUUAAGGUCCCCAAAUAUAUGUUAAGUGGAAAAGGAUGUGGGGUUGCUUAGACAACCAGGAUGUUGGCUUAGAAGCAGCCACCAUUGAAAGA